Molecule: ribosomal RNA, 465 nt
Filed under: uncultured bacterium
Lineage: Bacteria
Description: partial 16S ribosomal RNA
Rfam family: Bacterial small subunit ribosomal RNA
Source: RNAcentral
CCUACGGGAGGCAGCAGUGGGGAAUAUUGCGCAAUGGGCGAAAGCCUGACGCAGCGACGCCGCGUGAGGGAUGAAGGUCUUCGGAUCGUAAACCUCUGUUAGUAGGGAAGAACGGUCAUUGUGCUAAUUAGCAGUGAAUCGACGGUACCUGCACAGGAAGCACCGGCUAACUACGUGCCAGCAGCCGCGGUAAUACGGAGGGUGCGAGCGUUAACCGGCAUUAUUGGGCGUAAAGCGCUCGUAGGCGGUAUGUCAAGUCAAGGGUGAAAUCCCCGCGCUCAACGUGGGAACUGCAUUUGAAACUGGCAAACUUGAGUGUAUAAGAGGAUAGUGGAAUUCCAGGUGUAGGGGUGAAAUCCGUAGAUAUAUGGAGGAACAUCAGUGGCGAAGGCGACUAUCUGGCACGUAACUGACGCUGAGGGGCGAAAGCGUGGGUAGCAAACAGGAUUAGAUACCCUGGUAGUC